GGCUGAGGAGACCCUCGAGAGCAGCAACACUGGAGGAGGACAGGGAGGGGGUGCAGGGGACAUGAGGAAAGCCACAAGGAUUGGGAAAAGAGCACCCAACUCCUCUGAGAGAUGGUGAGGUUGAGGACACUCAGCACACCCAGGAUGAGGAUACGCGGUCACGAGCUAGGCGGAGGCCUGGGUCUCCCUCCUGUAAAUCUGGACGGGUGAAGACUGAGGUCCCUGGCAUCCCAUGGGCUGCCUGUUUCUGGUUCCCUUCUCCACACGUGCCGACCUCAGAGACGUGACAGCACCUUCGCCCUGGAGAAUCUGUUGUGUCUGUCGCUCUCCCUGGCUCAGCCCUGACAGUCCCUGCAGUACGCGUGCACCCCACCCUGCCUUCACCCACUGCCCAGCCCACGCCUGGGCAAGGCCCACUCCUUCCCUGUGACCUCUCCCAGCCAGAGGGAGUGCCAUGGGAGCGGCCAUUGCCCCCCUACGUAAGGUGGUGGAGCCUGGACUGGCAGAUGCACUCAGGAACUGCUCAGGAUAAGCACGCUCGUGCAGG
Molecule: non-coding RNA, 547 nt
Filed under: Pongo abelii (Sumatran orangutan)
Lineage: Eukaryota; Metazoa; Chordata; Mammalia; Primates; Hominidae
Source: RNAcentral